This 599-nucleotide small RNA is filed under the name Arabidopsis thaliana (thale cress). RNAcentral's name for it is "ATSL220820". The record is from RNAcentral. Lineage: Eukaryota; Viridiplantae; Streptophyta; Magnoliopsida; Brassicales; Brassicaceae.
AUUAUUAUUUAUAUAUCUAGACUUUAUAAAACAUUAUUAAUAUUUAAACUUAUAAAAAGUUUAAUAUAUAGAGUUUAAAAAAGUCUUAAUUCUUUCCGUCAUAUUUUGUGACUCGAAAUUUUAAAAAUAAACAUAUAUUAACCAAUUGGCAAAAAAUGUGUGAGUUAUACGUCCCACAUGGACUAAAAUAUUUAGACAAUGAUUCAUAAACAUAUCAUAAAUAAGAUUAACAUUAAUAAAAUAAUGGUUUUUUUACAGGACGGGUUUGGCGGGACGGGUUUAGCAGGACGUUACUUAAUAACAAAUAUAAAGUAUAAAAUAAAAAUAUUUUAUAAAUAGAUACAAUUUGCAAAAUUUUAUAUAUACUAACUUUAAAAUAUAAAUUGUCCCCGCGGUGUACCGGUUAAAAUCUAGUACUAUUAAUACAAUACAUUAUAAAUAGUACAAGAAAUAUAUCAAAAUAGAUAUAGGUAUAUAUAUAUAUAUAUAUUAAAAUUUUCAAAACUCAGAUUUUUAUGUAAUCAAUUUCAGAUUAAUCUGUUAACUAAAAUUAUACUAAUUUAGUAUUAUUAUAACUAAUAUUAAUUAAAAACAGUAUU